CCUACGGGAGGCAGCAGUGGGGAAUAUUGGACAAUGGGCGAAAGCCUGAUCCAGCAAUGCCGCGUGAGUGAUGAAGGCCUUAGGGUUGUAAAGCUCUUUUACCAGGGAUGAUAAUGACAGUACCUGGAGAAUAAGCUCCGGCUAACUCCGUGCCAGCAGCCGCGGUAAUACGGAGGGAGCUAGCGUUGUUCGGAAUUACUGGGCGUAAAGCGUACGUAGGCGGCGAUUCAAGUCAGAGGUGAAAGCCUGGAGCUCAACUCCAGAACUGCCUUUGAAACUAGAUUGCUAGAAUCGUGGAGAGGUGAGCGGAAUUCCGAGUGUAGAGGUGAAAUUCGUAGAUAUUCGGAAGAACACCAGUGGCGAAGGCGGCUCACUGGACACGUAUUGACGCUGAGGUACGAAAGCGUGGGGAGCAAACAGGAUUAGAUACCCUGGUAGUCCACGCCGUAAACGAUGAUAACUAGCUGCCAGGGUUCUUAGAACUUUGGUGGCGCNGCUACGCAUUAAGUUAUCCGUCCGUGGGAGGUACGGUCGCGAGAAUAAACUACAAUAGAAGUUAGACGGCGUGAGACGUGCCGAACGGACGACGACGAGGGAGGUAGG
Molecule: ribosomal RNA, 603 nt
Filed under: uncultured bacterium
Lineage: Bacteria
Description: bacterial SSU rRNA
Rfam family: Bacterial small subunit ribosomal RNA (bases 1-517)
Source: RNAcentral